CAAGGAACCCCGACUUUCGAGUUGCAGUGCAACUUUGGAACUAAAAAAUGGCUGCCGUUACCAUGGAAACAGAACAAUUGUGAAAAAAAACAGUUUUUGGUUUUAAUGAAUUAUUUGGAUAUGCUUAAACUCAGAAUCAUUAUAUUUUGAUACAAUGUAGGUGCCCACUAUAUACUGGUUUUGGAGGAUUUUGGCAAUCAUUGGAACUACUAUGUUGCCAUGGAAACUACACCAAAAAUUUCAAAAAUAUCAGAAUGCUCCAAAUUUAACGAUACUUUACAGUAACGAUGAGCAACAUUGGUAGAUGUGGAAUUUGGCGUUAGAAUUUCAAAAAUGUCUGCCGUUACCAUGGAAACAAUGCAAAACAGGUCAAAAUGGUUCAAAAACCUUAAAGUGGCAUUUACUUUCUUAAAAUGGUAGGUCAAAUUGAUCGAAACUUUGAUGGUAUGGUC
This 452-nucleotide long non-coding RNA is filed under the name Mytilus galloprovincialis (Mediterranean mussel). The record is from RNAcentral. Lineage: Eukaryota; Metazoa; Mollusca; Bivalvia; Mytilida; Mytilidae.